Molecule: ribosomal RNA, 466 nt
Filed under: uncultured bacterium
Lineage: Bacteria
Description: bacterial SSU rRNA
Rfam family: Bacterial small subunit ribosomal RNA
Source: RNAcentral
GACGAACGCUGGCGGCAUGCCUAACACAUGCGAGUCUAGGGGUAGCAAUACCACUGGCGCACGGGUGAGUAACACGUAGGUUAUCUGCCCCCAUCACAGACAUAACCCCGGGAAACCGGGGCUAAUAUCUGAUGAGGUCGCGAGAUCAAAGCUUCGGCGGAUGGGGAUGAGCCUGCGGCUGAUUAGCUAGUUGGUGAGGUAAUGGCUCACCAAGGCGACGAUCAGUAGCUGGUCUGAGAGGAUGAACAGCCACACUGGAACUGAGACACGGUCCAGACUCCUACGGGAGGCAGCAGUGAGGAAUAUUGGUCAAUGGGAGCAAUCCUGAACCAGCAAUGCCGCGUGUGGGAUGACAGGGCUUCGCCUUGUAAACCACUGUCGGACGGGACGAAAGGAGGCCUCGGGCCUCUGGGACGGUACCGUCAAAGGAAGGGUCGGCUAACUACGUGCCAGCAGCCGCGGUAAU